CAAUAGCAUUGAAGAGACUGCUAAAAGGUAUACAGUUUGAUCAUGGCUCAUGCCGAACGCUUGCGGCGCGCUUAACACAAUGCAACGUCUACGCAGAACGAGGUAGCACUAUCUUUANUAAACCUGGCGUACGGGUGCGUAACACGUAAGUAAUCUACCUUUGGGUUCGGAAUAACUUCGGGAAAUCGGAGCUAAUACCGGAUAAUGCAGCGGCACCGCAUGGUGAUGUUGUUAAAGUUUGUGUAACGUCUAAAGAUGAACUUGCGUCUGAUUAGCUAGUUGGUGAGGUAAAGGCUCACCAAGGCUGCGAUCAGUAGCUGGUCUGAGAGGAUGAUCAGCCACACUGGAACUGAGACACGGUCCAGACUCCUACGGGAGGCAGCAAGUGAGGAAUAUUGGGCAAUGCCCGAAAGGGUGACCCAGCAACGCCGCGUGGAGGAUGAAGGUCGUAAGAUUGUAAACUCCUGUUAGAGGGGAAGAAUAACUAAGUUUGGAGCUUAGUAUGACUGUACCCUCAGAGAAAGCCCCGGCUAACUACGUGCCAGCAGGCGCGGUAAUACGUAGGGGGCAAGCGUUGUCCGGAUUUACUGGGUGUAAAGGGCGCGCAGGCGGAAUGGAAAGUCAGUGGUGAAAUCCUACAGCUUAACUGUAGAACUGCCUUUGAUACUUUCAUUCUUGAGUUCGGGAGAGAGAGACGGAAUUCCAGGUGUAGUGGUGAAAUACGUAGAUAUCUGGAAGAACACCAGUUGCGAAGGCAGGUCUCUUGGUCCGAUACUGACGCUGAGGCGCGAAAGCGUGGGGAGCAAACAGGAUUAGAUACACUGGUAGUCCACGCUGUAAACGAUGAAUACUAGGUGUUGGGUUUUUAACUCAGUGCCGCAGCUAACGCAUUAAGUAUUCCACACUGGGAAGUACGAUCGCAAGGUUGAAGUCAAAGGAAUGACGGAUCUUUAAGAAACGUGACUAGCUACGAGAAGGGGGGCCUCGU
This 988-nucleotide ribosomal RNA is filed under the name uncultured Chlorobiota bacterium. RNAcentral's name for it is "bacterial SSU rRNA". It matches the Rfam family "Bacterial small subunit ribosomal RNA". Lineage: Bacteria; Pseudomonadati; Chlorobiota. The record is from RNAcentral.